GAUGAACGCUAGCUACAGGCUUAACACAUGCAAGUCGCAGGGUAACAUGAGGAAAGCUUGCUUUCCUUGAUGACGACUGGCGCACGGGUGAGUAACGCGUAUCCAACCUUCCCAUAACUACGGGAUAACCCGUUGAAAGACGGCCUAAUACCGUAUGAUAUCGUUUGCUGACAUCAAAUAACGAUUAAAGGUUUAGCGGUUAUGGAUGGGGAUGCGUCUGAUUAGCUUGUUGGCGGGGUAACGGCCCACCAAGGCUACGAUCAGUAGGGGUUCUGAGAGGAAGGUCCCCCACAUUGGAACUGAGACACGGUCCAAACUCCUACGGGAGGCAGCAGUGAGGAAUAUUGGUCAAUGGGCGAGAGCCUGAACCAGCCAAGUAGCGUGCAGGAUGACGGCCCUAUGGGUUGUAAACUGCUUUUAUGUGGGGAUAAAGUGCGUGACGUGUCAUGCAUUGCAGGUACCACAUGAAUAAGGACCGGCUAAUUCCGUGCCAGCCGCCGCGGUAAAAGGG
RNAcentral lists this ribosomal RNA (511 nucleotides) under uncultured Bacteroidales bacterium. Its description in RNAcentral is "bacterial SSU rRNA". It matches the Rfam family "Bacterial small subunit ribosomal RNA", at positions 28 to 528 of the family's 1533-position model. Lineage: Bacteria; Pseudomonadati; Bacteroidota; Bacteroidia; Bacteroidales. The record is from RNAcentral.